Molecule: ribosomal RNA, 255 nt
Filed under: uncultured bacterium
Lineage: Bacteria
Description: partial 16S ribosomal RNA
Rfam family: Bacterial small subunit ribosomal RNA
Source: RNAcentral
CACAAAGAUGACGACCGGCGCACGGGUGCGCACCGCGUAUGGAACCUACCUUCUACAGGGGAAUAGCCCAGGGAAACUUGGAUUAAUGCCCCGUGGUACCGGCUAACAGCAUUGUUUACCGGUUAAAGCCUUCGGGCGGUAGAAGAUGGCCAUGCGUCCCAUUAGCUCGAUGGUAGGGUAACGGCCUACCAUGGCCACGAUGGGUAGGGGCCCUGAGAGGGGGAUCCCCCACACUGGUACUGAGACACGGACCAG